GGGCGUGCAUGGUUUUGACAAAAACAUAUUUUAGAGAACUCAAGUAGGAAGGCCCUACCUUAAAAGGGUAAAAUUUUACAAAUGCAGUUAAUAAAGAUUAUUGCUUUAUAUACUUGAUCAGCAUAAGAGCUUUUGUUUGUUUUUAAACUUAUGCUUAAAUUUAAAACAAACUACACUUGUAAAACGCUCUACGAAUAGUUUUUGGACGGCGGUUCGAUUCCGCCCAUGUCCACUA
This 235-nucleotide transfer-messenger RNA is filed under the name Minisyncoccia. Its description in RNAcentral is "2-01-FULL-47-10 sp001824325 X1 Standard tmRNA". It matches the Rfam family "transfer-messenger RNA". Rfam says of the family: Bacterial tmRNA, also known as 10Sa RNA or SsrA, is named for its dual tRNA and mRNA-like properties. Its role is to liberate the mRNA from a stalled ribosome. The record is from RNAcentral. Lineage: Bacteria; Bacillati; Minisyncoccota.